RNAcentral lists this ribosomal RNA (253 nucleotides) under uncultured bacterium. RNAcentral's name for it is "partial 16S ribosomal RNA". It matches the Rfam family "Bacterial small subunit ribosomal RNA", at positions 524 to 776 of the family's 1533-position model. The record is from RNAcentral.
UACGGAGGGGGUUAGCGUUGUUCGGAAUUACUGGGCGUAAAGCGCACGUAGGCGGACUAGUAAGUCAGGGGUGAAAUCCCGGGGCUCAACCCUGGAACUGCCUUUGAUACUGCUAGUCUUGAGUUCGAGAGAGGUGAGCGGAAUUCCGAGUGUAGAGGUGAAAUUCGUAGAUAUUCGGAGGAACACCAGUGGCGAAGGCGGCUCACUGGCUCGAUACUGACGCUGAGGUGCGAAAGCGUGGGGAGCAAACAGG